GUGGGGAAUAUUGGACAAUGGGGGGAACCCUGAUCCAGCCAUGCCGCGUGUGUGAAGAAGGCCUUUUGGUUGUAAAGCACUUUAAGCGAGGAGGAGGCUACCGAGAUUAAUACUCUUGGAUAGUGGACGUUACUCGCAGAAUAAGCACCGGCUAACUCUGUGCCAGCAGCCGCGGUAAUACAGAGGGUGCAAGCGUUAAUCGGAUUUACUGGGCGUAAAGCGCGCGUAGGUGGCCAAUUAAGUCAAAUGUGAAAUCCCCGAGCUUAACUUGGGAAUUUGAUUCGAUACUGGUUGGCUAGAGUAUGGGAGAGGAUGGUAGAAUUCCAGGUGUAGCGGUGAAAUGCGUAGAGAUCUGGAGGAAUACCGAUGGCGAAGGCAGCCAUCUGGCCUAAUACUGACACUGAGGUGCGAAAGCAUGGGGAGCAAACAGGAUUAGAAACCCGGGUAGUCC
This 451-nucleotide ribosomal RNA is filed under the name uncultured bacterium. Its description in RNAcentral is "partial 16S ribosomal RNA". It matches the Rfam family "Bacterial small subunit ribosomal RNA", at positions 354 to 796 of the family's 1533-position model. The record is from RNAcentral.